GAAAGCAAGAACAGUCAUCAAUAGCAGACAGCAGAUGCAUUAAAGCAACACUGUCCACUCACUUCAUGCUCAGAAAAGAACACUUUAACUUCUCAUCGUGGUUAGCAAGAGUACAGUGAGAAGGCAGAUGCAGUUUUCUGGUUUCCUUUCAGACAGUUUUCCAGUGGUUUGAGAGAUCCUGCAUUCAUCAAAGAGGAGUAAGAGACUGGGAAAAUGUAGGAAAAAAGCUUCAGAAAUAUCCAAGCUCCCAUACACAAACAGUGUUGUGAAAGGUGGCAGUUAUUCAAACAGUGAAAAGAAGUGGGCUCUGUAGUGGCACAGUUGUCACAUUCUCACAAGAUGGCAUAUCCGGAAAACAAACUAUGCUGCAAGAAUCCCCAAGUAUGACGAACCAUUCACAAAACAACAACAAGAAACACAGAAAAAAAUGGACGGGUACAUUCAAUCUCACAAGCCACUCAACUCCGAACAAGCUUGAACAAUUUUCUCCUGAUAUUAUGAAAAGCAUAAUCAUUCAGAAAGUUCAUGAUAAUGGGUUUUGCACUGUUCUUGUUGGCAAAGCACACAGUUUUAAAGAAGAAGAAAUGACAGUCUGUGUGAGAGACACAGAAAAUCUGGAAAUAAAGGAACGACUUCUAGGAUGUAUCGAUUGCUUUGAGAAUGGGGAUACUGGUGCCCUCUAUCACAGCAUUCAACAUUUUUUACAAGCAUCGUGGACUGCAAACUUGCUGGUUGUGGCAUAGUGUUAUGAUGGGGCCACUGUAAUGGCAGGUUAUGUACCUGGAGUACUUCCAAAACUGCUGCAAGAUAAUCUCCACCCACCCCGCUAUAUAUAUAUACACUGCAUGGCUCAUGAAUUGUAUUUGGUUUUAUUUGAGGCAUACAAAGUAAGCAGGGCAGCAACACAAUUUUUUUGUUAUAGUCUAGAAGGCUUGUUUACCUUCUUUUCACAGCCGGGCACACAUCAUGCUUACUUGGAGGCCCAGAAAACGAUUGGAGUGAAACUGAAAUCGUACAGUUUAAGUGACACAAGAUGGUCAUCCAGAUGGAA
Molecule: long non-coding RNA, 1051 nt
Organism: Mauremys reevesii (Reeves's turtle)
Lineage: Eukaryota; Metazoa; Chordata; Testudines; Geoemydidae
Exons: 3
Source: RefSeq, a predicted model, not a curated record